RNAcentral lists this long non-coding RNA (220 nucleotides) under Arabidopsis lyrata. RNAcentral's name for it is "long non-coding RNA (ALYR_LNC003274)". Lineage: Eukaryota; Viridiplantae; Streptophyta; Magnoliopsida; Brassicales; Brassicaceae. The record is from RNAcentral.
ACGCUUCCUAAAUAUUUCCUUAAUAACGAUUCCAAAAUCAGAAUCGCAUAAAAAUAGAACGCUUCCUAAACGGAAUCAUAGCUUCCAAAACGCUUCCGAUUUCCUUUUUUUCGGAAUCGCGCUUCCACCACGCUUCCGGGCGCUUCCUGAAGCUUCCGAUUCCGUUUUAGCUUCCGAAGCGGGAAUCGGACUACGGACGGAGCUUCCGUGCUUCCUAGGU